AUGGCGGAGCCUCCGGGCGGCCUUGCAUCGGACGAGGUCGGCGGGAGAAGCCGUCGCCGUGGAGGGCGCCGCGGCGCACGAUGGCGUCCUCGCCUCCGGGCGGCUGCGCAUCGGACGAGAUCGGCGGAAGAAGCCGUCGCCGUGGAGGGCGCCGCGCCGCAGGAUGCCGUCGCCUCCUCCGGGCGGCCGCGCAUCAGACGAGGUCGGCGGGAGAAGCCGGCGCCGUGGCGGCCGCCGCGACUCGCUCAAGCCGCCCUCUUCCGGAUCUCCCACGUUCGUCGUCGUCCCGUGCUCGCCGCCGAAGGGUCCGGCCUCCCCAGCCUCGCUUGCCCGCCGGCGUCCCCAACCUCCAGCACGGGUGGACGUUGA
This 369-nucleotide ribosomal RNA is filed under the name Triticum aestivum (bread wheat). RNAcentral's name for it is "partial small subunit ribosomal RNA". The record is from RNAcentral. Lineage: Eukaryota; Viridiplantae; Streptophyta; Magnoliopsida; Poales; Poaceae.